RNAcentral lists this ribosomal RNA (497 nucleotides) under uncultured bacterium. Its description in RNAcentral is "partial 16S ribosomal RNA". It matches the Rfam family "Bacterial small subunit ribosomal RNA", at positions 28 to 507 of the family's 1533-position model. The record is from RNAcentral.
GACGAACGCUGGCGGCGUGCCUAAUACAUGCAAGUUGAGCGCUGAAGGUUGGUACUUGUACCAACUGGAUGAGCAGCGAACGGGUGAGUAACGCGUGGGGAAUCUGCCUUUGAGCGGGGGACAACAUUUGGAAACGAAUGCUAAUACCGCAUAAAAACUUUAAACACAAGUUUUAAGUUUGAAAGAUGCAAUUGCAUCACUCAAAGAUGAUCCCGCGUUGUAUUAGCUAGUUGGUGAGGUAAAGGCUCACCAAGGCGAUGAUACAUAGCCGACCUGAGAGGGGGGUCGGCCACAUUGGGACUGAGACACGGCCCAAACUCCUACGGGAGGCAGCAGUAGGGAAUCUUCGGCAAUGGACGAAAGUCUGACCGAGCAACGCCGCGUGAGGGAAGAAGGGUUUCGGAUCGUAAAACUCUGUUGGUAGAGAAGAACGUUGGUGAGAGUGGAAAGCUCAUCAAGUGACGGUAACUACCCAGAAAGGGACGGCUAACUACGUG